GACGAACGCUGGCGGCGUGCUUAACACAUGCAAGUCGAACGGAAAGGCCCUGCUUGCAGGGUACUCGAGUGGCGAACGGGUGAGUAACACGUGGGUGAUCUGCCCUGCACUUCGGGAUAAGCCUGGGAAACUGGGUCUAAUACCGGAUAGGAGCCAUUUUUAGUGUGAUGGUUGGAAAGUUUUUUCGGUGUAGGAUGAGCUCGCGGCCUAUCAGCUUGUUGGUGGGGUAAUGGCCUACCAAGGCGGCGACGGGUAGCCGGCCUGAGAGGGUGGACGGCCAAAAUGGGGAUGGAGUACGGGCCAGGCUCCUACGGGGGGCAACAGUGGGGAAUAUUGCACAAUGGGCGCAAGCCUGAUGCAGCGACGCCGCGUGGGGGAUGACGGGCUUCGGGUUGUAAACUCCUUUCGCUAGGGACGAAGCUUUUUGUGACGGUACCUAGAUAAGAAGCACCGGCUAACUACGUG
Molecule: ribosomal RNA, 465 nt
Filed under: uncultured bacterium
Lineage: Bacteria
Description: partial 16S ribosomal RNA
Rfam family: Bacterial small subunit ribosomal RNA
Source: RNAcentral